RNAcentral lists this non-coding RNA (510 nucleotides) under Oryza sativa Indica Group (long-grained rice). RNAcentral's name for it is "Bacterial large subunit ribosomal RNA". It matches the Rfam family "Bacterial large subunit ribosomal RNA", at positions 15 to 565 of the family's 2925-position model. Lineage: Eukaryota; Viridiplantae; Streptophyta; Magnoliopsida; Poales; Poaceae. The record is from Rfam by way of RNAcentral.
GCGUACACGGUGGAUGCCCUGGCAGUCAGAGGCGAUGAAGGACGUGCUAAUCUGCGAAAAGCGCCGGCGAGGUGAUAUGAACCUUUGACCCGGCGAUGUCCGAAUGGGGAAACCCAGUGUGUUUCGACACACUAUCGUUAACUGAAUACAUAGGUUAACGAGGCGAACCGGGGGAACUGAAACAUCUAAGUACCCCGAGGAAAAGAAAUCAACCGAGAUUCCCCCAGUAGCGGCGAGCGAACGGGGAGCAGCCCGGAGUCUGAAUCAGCUUGUGUGUUAGUGGAACGGUCUGGAAAGUCCGACGGUACAGGGUGAUAGUCCCGUACACGAAAAUGCACAGGCUGUGAACUCGAAGAGUAGGGCGGGACACGUGGUAUCCUGUCUGAAUAUGGGGGGACCAUCCUCCAAGGCUAAAUACUCCUGACUGACCGAUAGUGAACCAGUACCGUGAGGGAAAGGCGAAAAGAACCCCGGCGAGGGGAGUGAAAAAGAACCUGAAACCGUGUACGU